CCAAUAAAAAUUUCAUCAAUGUUGGAGUUAACUACAAGGAGUUAUAAGGGUUUACUUUUAAAAUAAUCUUUUCUCAUAAAAUUGAUAACUCCUAAUCUAUACAUCCAAAAAUCGCCAUUUUGGACACAAUCUAGAAAACUCAUCAAAUUAUCAUUUUAAAUUUUUCCAAAAUUUUUGAGGGUCAGAAAAAUUAUGAAACUGCCCCUGGCAGAACCCCUUACUUACAACGGUUGAACGAAAAUAAUAUUCCUUACAAAUAUUGAACGAAAAUAAUAUUCCUUACGAAUAUUAAACGAAUAUAAUGAAUAUUGAACGAUAAUAAUAUUCAUACGAAUACAAAAAAUAAUAUCUCUUUAGAAUAUAAAAAAUAAUAACCCUUACCUCAGAAGAAUACUUGAUACUGGAGUAGUGAAGUAACAUACUACUCUUCUUCUUUCUCUCUAUAGCUUCUCUUUCUAUAAUUGCUCUUGUGAGACUUAGUGAAUUGGUGAGAAAUGAAGGUAUAAUGAGCUUCUAUUUAUAGGAAAAUAUAGUUUCAAUAAUUGCACAUUUUGGGGCUCAAAAUAUUACAGUAUAAUACCUUCCUCUUUUUCUUUAUUUUUAAUUUAGUCCUGCAAGUAUUAUCAAACUUGCAUCACCUCCCCUAAUAGUAAAUCAUGUGAAUCAAUAGUAAAUCAUGUGACUCAAUAGUUCUAAACAUGUGAAAAAAUUAAUUAUAAUAUAGUACCUUCAACUAUACCUCUAUUUUUAAUUUAGUCAUGCAAGUAUUAUCAAUCUUGCACCAACUCCCCUAAUAGUAAAUCAUGUGAAUCAAUAGUACACCCAUGUGAAUAUAUAGUUAUAAGCAUGUGAAUUAAUAGCAAUUAAUUACUCAUUUAUCCGAUUAAUUACCCGAUUAGUCAAUAUAACUUUCAGAUAUCAAUUAUUAUCGAAAUAAAUGUCGAUUCUCACUAACACUAAUAAUCCCAACACAAUGAAACUAUCAAUUUCAUCUUUAAUCAACACGAACUUAUUCAUCAUUAAUAUUAUAACUCACAAUAUUGAACAACCAGGUCGUUCCUAGGAAAGAGAGGGCUUUUCGAUAAGGAUUUCUCCUUAUUGGCGCGCAAUUAGGUGACCAAACCUCUCCUUGACAGAACUUCUAGA
This 1146-nucleotide long non-coding RNA is filed under the name Panax ginseng (ginseng). RNAcentral describes it as "long non-coding RNA (PGIN_LNC000658)". Lineage: Eukaryota; Viridiplantae; Streptophyta; Magnoliopsida; Apiales; Araliaceae. The record is from RNAcentral.